CACAGAUCAUUUUGCACAGAAGAGCCAGGCAAGCUGAAGAGAGGUGUCUGUGAGAGAGAGGAAUGCAAAGAGAAACACUCAUCACUUCUGAGGUGCUGUCUGUGCUUUUGUUUUAUCCUCUCAUUGUGUAUCUGAUGUCCAUUCCAGCUCUGGCUCUUAUAGCUACUCACGCAACUUCAAGAUAUAGAAUAAUAGAGGAAAGGCUUUGGCCCUUUCUCAUCUACCUUUUGGACUGGGCACGUACUGUACGCUCUUUACGAUGGAAAGAAUAAUUAGGAACCUUACAGUUGUCAGCUCUGGCAAAUAUGUCUUGAGUUUUACUAUGUGCACAUGAAAUUCCAGCCCACAGAGGUUUCCAGCUGAGGCUAAUGCUGUCCGGUUGGAUAACUGCUUCCAGAACCAGCCCAUCAAGGAUGAGCGGUCCAUCAGUUCUGUCAAAGGAGAAAUCAAGAAGGGUUUGGCCUGAAGGGGUAGAUGAAAUGUCACUGUGAUCUGAGGUGAAGAUGGCAGGAAAGGAGGUAUUUGACAUAUGCUUGUUUGAGCAAUGAAUGAUUCAUCUGUUGGAUUCUGAGCUUAGAAUACUAAAAGCGUAGAAUCAGCUACACUGGAAAAGACCUUUAAAAUCAUAAAGGCCAACUCUUACCCCAGGACUGCCAAGUCCACCAGUGAACUAUGUCACUGAGGGCAUCAUUUACAUGGUUUUUGAACACUUCCAAGGGCAGUGAUUCCACCACUUCCCUGGGCAGCCUGUUCCAAUGCCUGAUCACUCUCUCAGUGAAGAAUUUUUUCCUAAUAUCCAGGCUAAGCCUCCCCUGAUACAGCUUGUGGAUGUGGAUUGAGCUUGACUGGCUCUUGGAUUCUGAGCUUUGAAGAAUAUAGCUAUAUUCAAACAACAUAAGAAAAGUCUGAAGUGGACUCAGAGUUUAUUCAGAGCUCAUUCACCUGCUCUGCCAUCAUGGAUGCUCAGUCAUGCAUAUGUUACUCCUUCAUUCAGUCUGUUCAUCAAGAUCUCUGGUGGUGGACUCUGUUCCAAAGCCUCCUCAAGCAGGGUCUUUCUCUGAUUUAAAGUAUAUACUUCUGGAAAGUUGUUUUGAUCCAUAAGUAGGAUCCUUCCUUCUGCAUCAAAAGCCAGUACACUUGGUCCUAUCCACCAUGAGCACCAGGAUCAGACUGUCCCCUUAACACAGACUGCUUUUGAUUUUUAAAAUUCCAUCUUGAUCUCCUUCCUAGGUUAAACAGCAUUGAAAGGCCUGCUAAAAUCAAAUACACAACAAAUGCUGUCCGUCCUCUCCAAGGGGCCUGUUACUCUGCUGUAAAAGGAAAUGACAUUGGUUUGGCCUCAGUUUUGUUCCUGAAAAAUCAGUGGUGUUCCUUAUCUUCUUCUUCUUGCCUUUGAAGUCUUACAAAUCAGUUGCUUGAUUUUUAUUUUUUUUCCUGAUUUUUUUGGGGGGAUCUUCCUUCUCUCCCUUUUUCCAGCAAUGCAUUUUGAUUAUCGCUUUAAUUUCAGAUUAAAGACUUUAGCUUCUGUUUGAUAACUAUGAAAAAGUAAAAAUAAAUUAAGUGGAAAACC
Long non-coding RNA from Pezoporus flaviventris, 1570 nucleotides. RefSeq lists it as uncharacterized. NCBI's taxonomy places the organism in Eukaryota, Metazoa, Chordata, Aves, Psittaciformes, Psittacidae. The record is from RefSeq and is a predicted model, not a curated record. The transcript is spliced from 2 exons.